AAGAAAGUGGCAGAGCGGUUAUGCAGUUGGCUUGAAACCAGCUUAAGGAGGUUCAACCCCUUCCUUUCUCG
RNAcentral lists this transfer RNA (71 nucleotides) under Uranoscopus tosae. RNAcentral describes it as "tRNA-Ser". It matches the Rfam family "tRNA". Rfam says of the family: Transfer RNA (tRNA) molecules are approximately 80 nucleotides in length. Their secondary structure includes four short double-helical elements and three loops (D, anti-codon, and T loops). Lineage: Eukaryota; Metazoa; Chordata; Actinopteri; Uranoscopiformes; Uranoscopidae. The record is from RNAcentral.